GAUGAACGCUGGCGGCGUGCCUAAUACAUGCAAGUCGAGCGAACGGACGAGAAGCUUGCUUCUCUGAUGUUAGCGGCGGACGGGUGAGUAACACGUGGAUAACCUACCUAUAAGACUGGGAUAACUUCGGGAAACCGGAGCUAAUACCGGAUAAUAUUUUGAACCGCAUGGUUCAAAAGUUAAAUACGGUCUUGCUGUCACUUAUAGAUGGAUCCGCGCUGCAUUAGCUAGUUGGUAAGGUAACGGCUUACCAAGGCAACGAUGCAUAGCCGACCUGAGAGGGUGAUCGGCCACACUGGAACUGAGACACUGGCCAGACUCCUACGGGAGGCAGCAGUAGGGAAUCUUCCGCAAUGGGCGAAAGCCUGACGGAGCAACGCCGCGUGAGUGAUGAAGGUCUUCGGAUCGUAAAACUCUGUUAUUAGGGAAGAACAUAUGUGUAAGUAACUGUGCACAUCUUGACGGUACCUAAUCAGAAAGCCACGGCUAACUACGUG
RNAcentral lists this ribosomal RNA (497 nucleotides) under uncultured bacterium. Its description in RNAcentral is "partial 16S ribosomal RNA". It matches the Rfam family "Bacterial small subunit ribosomal RNA", at positions 28 to 507 of the family's 1533-position model. The record is from RNAcentral.